CCUACGGGAGGCAGCAGUAGGGAAUUUUCCACAAUGGGCGAAAGCCUGAUGGAGCAAUACCGCGUGCAGGAUGAAGGCCUUCGGGUCGUAAACUGCUUUUAUGUGCGAAGAAUUUGACGGUAACACAUGAAUAAGGAUCGGCUAACUACGUGCCAGCAGCCGCGGUCAUACGUAGGAUCCAAGCGUUAUCCGGAAUUACUGGGCGUAAAGAGUUGCGUAGGUGGCAUUAUAAGUGGAGCGUGAAAGCGUGCGGCUCAACCGCAUUAUUGCGUUCCAAACUGUGAAGCUUGAGUAUGGGAGAGGUAGAUGGAAUUUCUAGUGUAGGAGUGAAAUCCGUAGAUAUUAGAAGGAACACCGAUGGCGUAGGCAGUCUACUGGCCCAUUACUGACACUAAGGCACGAAAGCGUGGGGAGCAAACGGGAUUAGAUACCCCGGUAGUCCACGCUGUAAACUAUGGAUGCUAAGCUGUGACACACAUCGACCUGUGUCGUAGCGAAGUUAACGCGUUAAGCACUCCGCCGCGGAGGUACGGUCGCGAGAAGUAAACUAACGAAGAAGUAGACGGCGNGAGACGUGCGACGACGACGACGAGGGAGGAGG
This 601-nucleotide ribosomal RNA is filed under the name uncultured bacterium. RNAcentral describes it as "bacterial SSU rRNA". The stretch from base 1 to 521 matches the Rfam family "Bacterial small subunit ribosomal RNA", at positions 338 to 873 of the family's 1533-position model. The record is from RNAcentral.